RNAcentral lists this ribosomal RNA (486 nucleotides) under uncultured bacterium. RNAcentral's name for it is "partial 16S ribosomal RNA". It matches the Rfam family "Bacterial small subunit ribosomal RNA", at positions 28 to 523 of the family's 1533-position model. The record is from RNAcentral.
GAUGAACGCUGGCGGCGUGCUUAACACAUGCAAGUCGAACGGAAAGGCCCUAGCUUGCUGGGGUACUCGAGUGGCGAACGGGUGAGUAACACGUGGGUGAUCUGCCCUGCACUUUGGGAUAAGCUUGGGAAACUGGGUCUAAUACCGAAUAUGACCACUUCUUGGAUGUUGUGGUGGAAAGCUUUUGCGGUGUGGGAUGAGCCUGCGGCCUAUUAGCUUGUUGGUGGGGUAAUGGCCUACCAAGGCGGCGACGGGUAUCCGGCCUGAGAGGGUGUACGGACACAUUGGGACUGAGAUACGGCCCAGACUCCUACGGGAGGCAGCAGUGGGGAAUAUUGCACAAUGGGCGCAAGCCUGAUGCAGCGACGCCGCGUGGGGGAUGAAGGCCUUCGGGUUGUAAACUCCUUUCGCUAUCGACGAAGCCACUUGUGGUGACGGUAGGUAGAUAAGAAGCACCGGCUAACUACGUGCCAGCCGCCGCCGUAA